This 229-nucleotide long non-coding RNA is filed under the name Homo sapiens (human). The record is from RNAcentral. Lineage: Eukaryota; Metazoa; Chordata; Mammalia; Primates; Hominidae.
CCUUGGAGUAAAGUAGCAGCACAUAAUGGUUUGUGGAUUUUGAAAAGGUGCAGGCCAUAUUGUGCUGCCUCAAAAAUACAAGGAUCUGAUCUUCUGAAGAAAAUAUAUUUCUUUUUAUUCAUAGCUCUUAUGAUAGCAAUGUCAGCAGUGCCUUAGCAGCACGUAAAUAUUGGCGUUAAGAUUCUAAAAUUAUCUCCAGUAUUAACUGUGCUGCUGAAGUAAGGUUGAC